RNAcentral lists this ribosomal RNA (499 nucleotides) under uncultured bacterium. RNAcentral describes it as "bacterial SSU rRNA". It matches the Rfam family "Bacterial small subunit ribosomal RNA", at positions 28 to 523 of the family's 1533-position model. The record is from RNAcentral.
GAUGAACGCUAGCGGCAGGCUUAAUACAUGCAAGUCGAGGGGCAGCACGGUUAGCAAUAACUGGUGGCGACCGGCGCACGGGUGCGUAACACGUAUACAAUCUACCCUGAACAGGGGGAUAGCCUUUCGAAAGAGAGAUUAAUACCCCGUAAUAAAUUGAACGGCAUCGUUUGAUUUUGAAAGCUCCGGCGGUUUGAGAUGAGUAUGCGUCUGAUUAGCUAGUUGGUGAGGUAACGGCUCACCAAGGCGACGAUCAGUAGGGGAUCUGAGAGGACUAACCCCCCACACUGGUACUGAGACACGGACCAGACUCCUACGGGAGGCAGCAGUAAGGAAUAUUGGUCAAUGGAGGCAACUCUGAACCAGCCAUGCCGCGUGCAGGAUGACGGCCCUAUGGGUUGUAAACUGCUUUUAUACAAGAGAAAACCCUGGUACGUGUACCAGGUUGAUAGUAUUGUAAGAUAAGCAUCGGCUAACUUCGUGCCAGCAGCCGCGGUAA